This 840-nucleotide ribosomal RNA is filed under the name uncultured archaeon. RNAcentral describes it as "bacterial SSU rRNA". It matches the Rfam family "Archaeal small subunit ribosomal RNA", at positions 53 to 898 of the family's 1478-position model. The record is from RNAcentral.
GCGAGUCGAAUGUAGCAAUACAUGGCGUACUGCUCAGUAACACGUGGAUAACCUGCCCUUGAGACGGGGAUAAACCCGGGAAACUGGGUAUAAUACCCGAUAGAUCUCGGCUGCUGGAAUGCACCGAGUUCUAAAGCUCCGGCGCUCAAGGAUGGAUCUGCGGCCUAUCAGGUAGUAGUGGGUGUAGCGUACCUACUAGCCUACGACGGGUACGGGUUGUGAGAGCAAGAGCCCGGAGAUGGAUUCUGAGACACGAAUCCAGGCCCUACGGGGUGCAGCAGGCGCGAAAACUUUACAAUGCUGGAAACAGCGAUAAGGGGACCUCGAGUGCCAGGUUACAAAUCUGGCUGUCGUGAUGCCUAAAAAGCAUUGCAUAGCAAGGGCCGGGCAAGACCGGUGCCAGCCGCCGCGGUAACACCGGCGGCUCGAGUGGUAACCGUUAUUAUUGGGUCUAAAGGGUCUGUAGCCGGCCGGAUAAGUCUCUUGGGAAAUCUGGCAGCUUAACUGUCAGGCUUUCAGGAGAUACUGUCUGGCUCGAGGCCGGGAGAGGUGAGAGGUACUUCAGGGGUAGGGGUGAAAUCUUGUAAUCCUUGAAGGACCACCAGUGGCGAAGGCGUCUCACCAGAACGGACCUGACGGCAAGGGACGAAAGCUAGGGGCACGAACCGGAUUAGAUACCCGGGUAGUCCUAGCCGUAAACGAUACUCGCUAGGUGUCGGCCACGGUGCGACCGUUGUCGGUGCCGUAGGGAAGCCGUGAAGCGAGCCACCUGGGAAGUACGGCCGCAAGGCUGAAACUUAAAGGAAUUGGCGGGGGAGCACCACAACGGGUGGAGCUUGC